This 254-nucleotide ribosomal RNA is filed under the name uncultured bacterium. Its description in RNAcentral is "partial 16S ribosomal RNA". It matches the Rfam family "Bacterial small subunit ribosomal RNA", at positions 524 to 776 of the family's 1533-position model. The record is from RNAcentral.
UACGUAGGGGGCAAGCGUUGUCCGGAUUUAUUGGGCGUAAAGAGCUCGUAGGCGGUUCGGUAAGUCGGGUGUGAAACCUCCAGGCUCAACCUGGAGAAGCCACCCGAUACUGCUGUGACUAGAGUCCGGUAGGGGAGCGUGGAAUUCCUGGUGUAGCGGUGAAAUGCGCAGAUAUCAGGAGGAACACCAAUGGCGAAGGCAGCUCGCUGGGACGUUACUGACGCUGAGACGCGAAAGCGUGGGGAGCAAACAGG